RNAcentral lists this non-coding RNA (84 nucleotides) under anaerobic digester metagenome. RNAcentral's name for it is "c-di-GMP-I". It matches the Rfam family "c-di-GMP-I riboswitch aptamer". From Rfam's summary of the family: GEMM was predicted in a large-scale screen for bacterial structured RNA regulatory elements. The record is from RNAcentral.
CGCCUCCUCAGCCAAACCAUAGGCGACUAUGGGACGGAAAGCCACGGGUCUGCGCCCGAUACGGGCAGACAGCCGGUUGCCUGA